This 888-nucleotide ribosomal RNA is filed under the name Chaetopsina penicillata. RNAcentral describes it as "eukaryotic LSU rRNA". It matches the Rfam family "Eukaryotic large subunit ribosomal RNA", at positions 40 to 961 of the family's 3401-position model. Lineage: Eukaryota; Fungi; Ascomycota; Sordariomycetes; Hypocreales; Nectriaceae. The record is from RNAcentral.
AUAUCAAUAAGCGGAGGAAAAGAAACCAACAGGGAUUGCCUCAGUAACGGCGAGUGAAGCGGCAACAGCUCAAAUUUGAAAUCUGGCCCCCGGGUCCGAGUUGUAAUUUGCAGAGGAUGCUUUUGGUGAGGUGCCUUCCGAGUUCCCUGGAACGGGACGCCAUAGAGGGUGAGAGCCCCGUCUGGUCGGACACCGAGCCUCUGUAAAGCUCCUUCGACGAGUCGAGUAGUUUGGGAAUGCUGCUCUAAAUGGGAGGUAUGUGUCUUCUAAAGCUAAAUACCGGCCAGAGACCGAUAGCGCACAAGUAGAGUGAUCGAAAGAUGAAAAGCACUUUGAAAAGAGAGUUAAAAAGCACGUGAAAUUGUUGAAAGGGAAGCGUUUAUGACCAGACUUGGGCCUGGUUGAUCAUCCGGCGUUCUCGCCGGUGCACUCUUCCGGCCCAGGCCAGCAUCAGUUCGUCCUGGGGGAUAAAGGCUCUGGGAAUGUGGCUCCCUCGGGAGUGUUAUAGCCCACUGCGCAAUACCCUGCGGCGGACUGAGGUACGCGUUCCGCAUGGAUGCUGGCGUAAUGGUCAUCAAUGACCCGUCUUGAAACACGGACCAAGGAGUCGUCUUCGUAUGCGAGUGUUCGGGUGUCAAACCCCUACGCGUAAUGAAAGUGAACGCAGGUGAGAGCUUCGGCGCAUCACCGACCGAUCCUGAUGUUCUCGGAUGGAUUUGAGUAAGAGCAUACGGGGCCGGACCCGAAAGAAGGUGAACUAUGCCUGUAUAGGGUGAAGCCAGAGGAAACUCUGGUGGAGGCUCGCAGCGGUUCUGACGUGCAAAUCGAUCGUCAAAUAUGGGCAUGGGGGCGAAAGACUAAUCGAACCUUCUAGUAGCUGGUUUCCGC